GCAGAGCGCGGGGCUCCCCCUCCCCUACGGUCCACGGCCCUUCCCCGGCCCCCUUGUUCCCUCUCUAACUUCUGAUUGUUCUUUUAUUUUAAUUAUUAUUUCCCCGUCCCUUAAAAGGAAAAAAAAAAAAGAUUAAUAAUAAUAAGGAAAGCAACUAAAGCACUGGACUAUCCUUUAAACGGUAGCAGGUGUAAUGAUGUGUUUUGACCUUUACAGGCUAGUACCCAGGCAAUGGAGUGGAGUGUCUCAUAGAGAGAGUGAGGAGAGAGUGUGUAAUAGAGAGAGAGAGAGAGAGAGAGAGAGCAAGAGAGAGAGAGAGAGAUGGCAAGCACUGAGUUAAAUACCUGGCAAAACUAAAUAAAUUAACCAAAAAGGAAAAAAAAAAUCCACCAAACCGUGAUAAACACAAAACAGCUUCCUGAUGCUCGGAGUUGGCACAUGCUGCUGUGUUGAUUUAAUGUGGAUCCUCAUCAGGAAAGAGGGAAAAAUACACAUGUGCUUUGAUGUAGUCAAAAUUUAACCACAUAAAUUUGCACUGCAAGAAAAUUGAAGUUUACAUGAACAAAUUCAUGAACAGAUUUUUCUUUCUCCCACCGUUAAUUUUGAAAUUGCCGGGUUUUGUUUUGUUUUGUUUUAUCCAGCAGAGAGAGUUGCAGCCAGCCCUUGGCUACUCUCCAUUUCUAACGUUGUCGCGUUGCCCCCUUGUUCUUACUGUUUGUGAACUUUGGUUACUUUCGGUCCCCCCACCCCACCCCAACAUUGGUGUAACAUCUAUUUGCUUCUUUUACCAAAGCAAAAAAAAAAAAAAAAAAGAUUGGCUUCGUACAAAAUAAAUCCUUCUCUGCUUUCAGGAAACGUGCAUGGUCUACCCGCUUUAUCCAAGGCAAGAAUCCAGUUUGGAAUACAAAAAUGAGUCAAGCAUUGGUUUUUGUUACCAGCCACAAAGUAAACUUCAUUUUCAGGCAGUGUUUCUGGGGGAGGUUGCAGGAGGGGAGAAAAAGAAAAAUCGAUAGUGAGUGACUGAUUGCUUCAUUUUAUCAGGCGGGCCCAUUGUGAAAGAGCUCAGAGGAAAUGUGGAGGUUAAAUAUAUUUCCAGAGUUGUCCAACAGAAAGUGGCACUUUGAAGAGAACCAGGGAAAUAUAUAUCUUCAGAAGCCCCUGUAUAGUUCUCUGCCUUCAGUUUUAAUAACUUAAUUAGGAGGAAUUAUUUGUGCUGACAGCAGCAGUUAAACUUUGUUCCUCUAAUAGCUUUUUUUUUUUUUAACAUAAAGAAAAUAAUCUGGGAACUUAAUGGUGUAUGCAUAGACUGUGUCUUACCACACAAAUACCCACAUGCAUACAGAGGAUAUCUCCACUCUAGACUGGUUUUGUUUUCACUAGCUCAUUUGUUUAUCAAAUCAUAUUUAAGGUCCCACACCCUCUUCUCUUAUAAUUUAUUACAGAAAAUACCAGUUUGACCUGGACAGCUUUCUUCUCCCUCUUUCACUAAGGAAGCCAAAUGAACUGGGGAAAAAAAAAAUUGCUAUUUUCUAUCCUUCCUUUUCUCCCUUUGUUAAUAGUUUUAAGUGCGUUUUUUACCUUAUCUUGAUGGAAAAUGGUUAACUCCCAUAACAAAAGACUCUACUGGGAAGUGUAGGUGAAAAAAAAACUUCUAACUGUAUUGAAAAUAAAUACCAUUAAACUGUGAUCAGUUAAAACAUUUAAAAAUAAUCAGCACAAAAGGGCGCUCAAAGGGAAAACACUUUUUAUUAAUCUUCAAAGUUUGGGGCUUUUUUCUGGUUAAAUAUUAGGCAAAUUUUUCUUUUAAGACAUUAAAUUCUCAAUACCAUAAAAUUAUGGUUCAGCAUCAGAUUAGCAUUGCACUCAGUAGUUAAGGUUUUAGGAAAUAUGCUUUAUAUUGUCUCUUCAAACACCUGUGAUUGUUUCAUUUUCAAUGUUUUUGCAAGAUAAAUGAUGACUUAUAAUGGGCAUAUUUAUUUGCCUGUAUUUCAUUUCCCCCAACGAAUGUCACAAGGAGAUGGGCACGGAGCUGCUGCUUCGGGGUGCAUCACGCUGCUUGUUCCUGAGGUGUGGGGACUGGCCUUUAGUGAAGCAAUCCAGAGCAGGGCAGAUAGCCAAUGGUAAAGGGAGGAAAUGAAUUUUCAGAUUCUUAUUACCAAGUGGGUAAGGUCAGAUGCUGGAGUUCAGGGGACGAGUCUAUAGCUCCUCUAACUCUCAUAGGUUUACUAAGAUGAAAGUUACCACUGAACCUUACCACGAUGUAUAUAUGUUUAAUAUCUGUCUUUUGAAAUGCAGAAAUAGUUUAAAUGUUUCUUUGUCUAUUUUUCUUUUUUUUUAAUGCUACCCAGGGAAAUAUUUUCAUAUCAUUUUUAAGUGGCCUGCCUCAAUGUAUAUUUAUUUCUUUUAAAGCAAAAAGGUUCUGGAAACUGUUUUUCUGUAGCUUUAAAUGAGUAGAUGAGCAAAAUCUAUAUGGGAUGUAAUUUUUUUUUUUUGUUCAGUCUCUUUAAGAAUACUUUGUUUUGGUACAUUUGGUUGUGCUUGUGGGGAAAAUAAAAACGCAGAGAUCCUUAUAUAUUUAUGUUAAAGUAAUAUUUUAUUAUCUACAUAAAACAGAAAUGCACAAUACCUUCAUAGUUUGUUCUAAUUAUUGAAAUAUCUUUAUUUUAUUUUUAAAGAUAGUGCCAAGUUUUAAGGGGGGGGGAGAAAACCCUAGACCUUAUACUGACUGAGUUGAGUUGUGUGUAAAAUACUUCCCUUCCUUUAUACUUCAUAAAGUUUUGGAAUAAAUUUUAUGCGUAUACUGCCAGGUUUCAUGUUUAUAACUUUCAGAGCUUUUCUUUUCUUUUCUUUUCUUUUCUUUUUUUAAGAGACUACUGUUCUGAUUCUAAUUCACUUUUCUUUGCAAAAAACUAUCAGUUCCAGACCUUUCAGUCACUACACCUAUAGCAUUAAAUUGAAAUGGUCAUUGGGUUUGAGCCUCGAUUUGUUUGCCAUUUCAUGGUCCGACAAAGAGAUGUUUGUCCUCUUUAAAUAUAUGCAGAUAUCCCUACGUCUUCUUCUUUCCAGGUUACCUUUACCUUGACUGAUUGUGCUUUUUUUUUUUUUUUUUUUUGGAGAGCAUCAAUGGAACUAGGUGGACUUUAAUCUUUACCCACAUGUUCUCACAAAAUUUGGGAUCUUAAAAGCAAAGCUUAGUUAAAGGUAUUCUUUUUAAUCAUUAACAAAUACCUUUCAACAAAGAAUAACUCUGACAAUGUGCAAGAUGUGUGUUUACCAAGUGAUUAUUGGUGGGUCCCAUGUAUGAUGCCUGUUAGGUUUACAGAAAAAAAAAUGGAUUUUGCAAUGGUUUAUAUACUAGUGUCUUUUUCUCUUCGGGCAAGCAAAUAGGCUCCAAAGCAGGGCGAGAGAGAAAAAAAAAAGAAAACAAAAAAA
Molecule: long non-coding RNA, 3432 nt
Filed under: Canis lupus familiaris (dog)
Lineage: Eukaryota; Metazoa; Chordata; Mammalia; Carnivora; Canidae
Description: lncRNA (ENSCAFG00000053203.1)
Source: RNAcentral